UGUAACCCCAAUAACUUUAUUACAAAAAGUAUUAUAAUUUUUUGUAUUCUCAUUUUUAUCAUUUUACUUAAUUUAAGUGUUCUUAUUCGUUAUUAUGUGUUGUAUUUUGCAUUAUUUUUUUUAAUCACAAUAGACUAUAUUAAACUAUAUUUUAGUAAAAAAAUUUAUCCUUCAUAUACAGUAAUAAAAAUUUUUAAUAAUACAAGUCAAUCCAUACUACAUAAAAUUAAGUCAGCACCUAUUUGGAGAUGAUAAAUUAUUAUUUAUAACAACAAAUUAAAGGAGAGAAAGCAGGUGUUUGUGACAUUGAAAAACUACAUGAUAAACCAUACAAAACGUAGAAAAAAUUAUUGGCCUAAUCUAAAAAUAUAGCAGUGAACGACACAUGAUUACUAAAAAAAUCACUAGCCUAAAGGUCGAGUAGAGCAAAAAAUAGACAUAAAUCUAACUAUGCAUGCAAUAUAAAGGAAAAGACAGACGGUGGAAAUUUAUAUCUAAAAUUAAAAUCUCCCACCAAACGCACCUUUCUUGGUCUAUAAGUGCAGCCAAAAUGUUUGACAAAGGACAUUUGGCCAUUCUCUUAUUGUUUCGAGAAAACCAGAACCCUGAUUUACUAAAUUCAAGGAACACAAAUCUAAUAAGAGCGUUGGAGUACCUUCUUCGCUACGCAUUAGAGUCAAGUUUAUGGAGAACCAUCAGAACAAGAAAUAACUUUACCUACAAAGAACGAUUAGGUAUAAUUUGAACACUUAGUUUAUUUAAAUUAUAAACUAGACUAUUGAUCAAUUUUUUAUCGGACUAUUGAAGGAUGUUUUAUUUUGCAUUUCGCCAAGCAAAUGCCGGAAACUUUCAGCUGAAUUCAGGAAUGCUACCCAAGAGAACAUCUAUUUCUCCAACUAGGCCGAGUGCACGAGAUUUAAAUUUCGGGACAUUAAGUAAUCCUCCGAGGCCUCCCGGUUCACAAGGUCCUCCUUCACAGAUCAAUCCGCCAUCCAAAGGUCUUUCUUCUAGAGAUUUGAAUUUCGGAAUACUAAGUAAAUCUCCGAGAUUACUCGGUUCACAAAGGCCCCGUCCACAGAUCAAUCUGCCACCGCCAGAAGACCUUUCUUCAUUUUCUAGAGAUUUGAAUUUCGAGACACUAAGUAAUCCUCCAAGACCUGUCGGUUAACAAAGGAUCCAGUCCACAGAUCAAUCUGCCACCGCCUAAAGAACGCUCUUCGUUUUCUAGAUAAUAGGAUUCAAGUAAUAAGGGCGUGCCUAUUCUUCCAUCCGGCCCAUAAACACCCACUAUUUAGCAUGAAAUUAAAAUGGCUAUGUUUCACUCACUACCAUCAUGCGGCAUUUAGAAAACGGUAGUGCGAAAUAGUAAUCUUGAAUAAUAAAUGGGCCAUUGAGGGUGUUAAGGCACAGUUUACAAGUCUAUUUUGGUCAUAGAUACGAUGCCCUGUGGUUUUCAAGUUUUUGAUUUUAAAGUGAUCAGUAAAAAGAACUUCGGAUGAAAUUAAAGCCAUGCAUGCACCUACCCUCCAAACAUCACAACUUUCACUGAAUCAAAGAAAAAUAGAACUAGAGAACGCAUCUGUUGUAUUGCUGCCAUAAAUAGGCAAUGUCAUCUCACAUUCAAGACCAUAUUUUGUUCCCAUUCAGUCAACAUCUGUUCAAAAGCUCCCAGAAAAAAUUAUUUCUCACACGACUUUUAAUUUAUUUCUCAAAGAACUGAAUUUCAUUAACCAAUGAGUGGCAACAAUUUAACAUCAGCUGGAAACU
Molecule: long non-coding RNA, 1767 nt
Filed under: Citrus x clementina
Lineage: Eukaryota; Viridiplantae; Streptophyta; Magnoliopsida; Sapindales; Rutaceae
Description: Citrus clementina (C. clementina) long non-coding RNA (CCLE_LNC001912)
Source: RNAcentral